GGAGAAAUGCCGGAGUGGUCGAUCGGGACUGACUCGAAAUCAGUUGUACCCAUUAUGCGGUACCGGGGGUUCGAAUCCCUCUUUCUCCG
Molecule: transfer RNA, 89 nt
Filed under: Bacteroidetes bacterium GWE2_42_24
Lineage: Bacteria; Pseudomonadati; Bacteroidota
Also listed under: 2 other names
Description: tRNA-Ser
Rfam family: tRNA
About the family: Transfer RNA (tRNA) molecules are approximately 80 nucleotides in length. Their secondary structure includes four short double-helical elements and three loops (D, anti-codon, and T loops). Further hydrogen bonds mediate the characteristic L-shaped molecular structure. tRNAs have two regions of fundamental functional importance: the anti-codon, which is responsible for specific mRNA codon recognition, and the 3' end, to which the tRNAs corresponding amino acid is attached (by aminoacyl-tRNA synthetases). tRNAs cope with the degeneracy of the genetic code in two manners: having more than one tRNA (with a specific anti-codon) for a particular amino acid; and 'wobble' base-pairing, i.e. permitting non-standard base-pairing at the 3rd anti-codon position.
Source: RNAcentral